GGUGCAUGAAGGGUGUGAGGGGGAUGGAGGGUGUGAGGGGGUAUUGGGGUGAAGGUGGUAGGGUGUAUGGAGAUGUCAGGGGGUAUCAGGGUGCAAGCAGUGGGGUGUAUGGAGGUGUCAGGGGGUAUCAGGGAGGGGGUAUCAGGGGACAGGCAGUGGGGUGUAUGGAGGUGUCAGGGGACAGGCAGUGGGGUGUAUGGAGGUGUCAGGGGGUAUCAGGGAGGGGGUAUCAGGGGACAGGCAGUGGGGUGUAUGGAGGUGUCAGGGGGUAUCAGGGAGGGGGUAUCAGGGGACAGGCAGUGGGGUGUAUGGAGGUGUCAGGGGGUAUCAGGGUGCAAGCAGUGGGGUGUAUGGAGAUGUCAGGGGGUAUCAGGGUGCAAGCAGUGGGGUGUAUGGAGAUGUCAGGGGGUAUCGGGGUGUAAGCAGUGGGGGGUAUGGAGGUGUCAGGGGGUAUCAGGGGACAGGCAGUGGGGUGUAUGGAGGUGUCAGGGUGUAUCAGGGAGGGGGUGUCAGGGGGUAUCAGGGUGUAAGCAGUGGGGGGUAUGGUAUUAGGGAGGUGCAGACAGGGAGUGGACAUUAGGGGUGCUGAGCCGGGAGAGGCCAGCACUGGGGUGCAGGCUGUGACUGGGGGUAGGAUUUGGGGAGCAGCCUCCUGUCAAUGUGAGGGGUGCAGUGCGUGGCCGGGGUUCUUUCAGGGGUGCAGCAGUGUUGAGCCGCAGGGGGCCAUCAUUGGGCUGUCCUAGGUCGGGUUGAGGCCGCUGGCUGCUCCGGCAGGACGCUGCUCCCGGCGGCUCGGUCUGGGCUCCUCUCCUCCGGCGGGGGCCCCGCUGCUCCCCUCUGUCUCCCGGAGCUCACGGCUCUGAUUCAAUGCUCGUCCCCGCUGCAGCGCCGGAGCCGCGCGGCCUGGGAGGAGCCGAUGAGAGGGCGGUGCCCGGGGAGGAGCCGAUGAGAGGGCGGGGCCAGAACAGAGCGCGACGGAGACUGCGGGAGAGGGCUUGCCGUGACGUCACAGUGGGAGG
Bufo bufo (common toad) is the source of this 1019-nucleotide long non-coding RNA. RefSeq lists it as uncharacterized. NCBI's taxonomy places the organism in Eukaryota, Metazoa, Chordata, Amphibia, Anura, Bufonidae. The transcript is spliced from 3 exons. The record is from RefSeq and is a predicted model, not a curated record.